CUCUGAAGCCGCGGGCUCCGGUGAUGCCGUCGCGGGCUCCGGUGAUGCCGCCUCGGCUGCCGCCAUCUCCAGCCUAUCCCUCCGCGCUAGACUGAGCCCACCGCUGUCCGAGAAUUAUCCUGGUGCUCACAAUUUCAUCCAAAUGACACAAGAUGCACUUUGGCUUCCUGAGACAGAAUCCAGUUGAAUCCAGGCAUCAGAGGAGAGAUGGCCCAGAGUGGACACCUAUCAAUCCAGUGCUGUUUGGCAUGACAGCCACCACCGGUGCAGCCUCGUACCCACAGGCAGCCACUCCCUCACUUCCCCUCAAGACUUCUCAGCCCUCAACAGCCACUGGCCUGCUGCUUUCUGUCCCUAGACUUGACUACCCUGGACCUUUUGGAUAAAUCAAAUCAUACAAUUUUUGUGCGUGUCUGGCAUCUUUGAGUACGUUUUAAAGGUUCGUCCAUGUUGUAGUACAUGUUUGAUUCUUUUUAUUGACAAGUAACAUUCCAUUGCGUGGGUCUAUCACAUUUUAUUUAUUCAUCCACUGAUGGAGAUAGGGUUGUUUUUCCCUUUUGCUAUUCUAAUACUAUGAAUAUCCAUUUACAAGUUUUUGUAUGGCUAUAUGUUGUCAUUCUUAUUAGAUAUGGACCCAGAAGUGGUACUGCUGAGGCAUACGGCAACCCUAUGUUUAACAUUCUUAAGAACUGCAAUGGUGUUUUCCAAAGUGACUGCAUUAUUUCCUACCAGCUGCGUAAGAGGGUCCUAAUUCCCCUGGGUAUUUACCAACACUUACCUUCUCUUUUGUUAUAGCUAUCCCAGUGGAUAGGAAGUGGGUUUUUUGUUUUGGGGUUUUUUUUUUCUUGGAAGUGGUAUUUUUCAUAUUACAGUUUUGAAUUGCAUUUCCCUAAUGAUUGAUGAUGUUGAGCAUUUUUUCAUAUACAUGUUAACUCCUCACAUAUCUUCUUUGGAGAAAUGUCUAUCCAAGUCCUUUGCCCUCUUUUACAUUGGGUUAUUUGUCCUUUAUUAUUGGUCAUUAAUAUAUUCUAGGCACCCAGGAUUUUGUUUUGUGUCUUUUGUUUUUUUGUUUGUUUUGGUACUGGGGAUCAAACUUGGGGCCUUGUGCUUGUG
Heterocephalus glaber (naked mole-rat) is the source of this 1113-nucleotide long non-coding RNA. RefSeq lists it as uncharacterized. NCBI's taxonomy places the organism in Eukaryota, Metazoa, Chordata, Mammalia, Rodentia, Bathyergidae. The record is from RefSeq and is a predicted model, not a curated record.